RNAcentral lists this unclassified non-coding RNA (240 nucleotides) under soil metagenome. Its description in RNAcentral is "partial contains 5.8S ribosomal RNA, internal transcribed spacer 2, and large subunit ribosomal RNA". The record is from RNAcentral.
AACAAGGCGUACCUGCGGACCUGCGGAGGGAUCAUUAACCUUUCAAAUCAGGGUGCGGCGCGGCCCCCGAGGAGCGGAAACAAUCCUUGGGAGGUAUGCGGGGGCUUCGAGCCCCCCAUUUACGCACGCACGACUGCCAUCCUUACUUUACGAGCACCUUCUGUUCUCCCUCGGCGGGGCAACCUGCCGUUGGAACCGAAUAAACUCUUUUUGCAUCUAGCAUUACCCGUUCCGAAACAA